This 855-nucleotide ribosomal RNA is filed under the name uncultured bacterium. RNAcentral describes it as "SSU rRNA". It matches the Rfam family "Bacterial small subunit ribosomal RNA", at positions 524 to 1381 of the family's 1533-position model. The record is from RNAcentral.
UACAUAGGGUGCAAGUGUUGUCCGGAAUUAUUGGGCGUAAAGAGCUCGUAGGUGGUCGAUCACGUCGGAUGUGAAAUUCUGAGGCUUAACCUCGGACCUGCAUUCGAUACGGGUUGACUAGAGUGUGGUAGGGGAGACUGGAAUUCCUGGUGUAGCGGUGGAAUGCGCAGAUAUCAGGAGGAACACCGAUGGCGAAGGCAGGUCUCUGGGCCAUUACUGACACUGGGGAGCGAAAGCGUGGGGAGCGAACAGGAUUAGAUACCCUGGUAGUCCACGCCGUAAACGGUGGGCGCUAGUUGUGGGAACCUUCCACGGUUUCUGCGACGCAGCUAACGCAUUAAGCGCCCCGCCUGGGGAGUACGGUCGCAAGACUAAAACUCAAAGAAAUUGACGGGGCCCCGCACAAGCAGCGGAGCAUGCGGCUUAAUUCGACGCAACGCGAAGAACCUUACCAAGGCUUGACAUAUACAGGAAUACGGCAGAGAUGUCGUAGCCGCAAGGUCUGUAUACAGGUGGUGCAUGGUUGUCGUCAGCUCGUGUCGUGAGAUGUUGGGUUAAGUCCCGCAACGAGCGCAACCCUCGUCCUGUGUUACCAGCAUUUAGUUGGGGACUCACAGGAGACUGCCGGGGUCAACUCGGAGGAAGGUGGGGAUGACGUCAAAUCAUCAUGCCCCUUAUGUCUUGGGCUGCACGCAUGCUACAAUGGCUGGUACAAAGGGCUGCGAUACCGCGAGGUGGAGCGAAUCCCAAAAAGCCAGUCUCAGUUCGGAUUGGGGUCUGCAACUCGACCCCAUGAAGUCGGAGUUGCUAGUAAUCGUAGAUCAGCAACGCUACGGUGAAUACGUUCCCGGGGCU